UACGAAGGGGGCUAGCGUUGUUCGGAUUUACUGGGCGUAAAGCGCACGUAGGCGGAUUGUUAAGUCAGGGGUGAAAUCCUGGAGCUCAACUCCAGAACUGCCUUUGAUACUGGCAAUCUCGAGUCCGGAAGAGGUGAGUGGAACUCCUAGUGUAGAGGUGGAAUUCGUAGAUAUUCGCAAGAACACCAGUGGCGAAGGCGGCUCACUGGCCCGGUACUGACGCUGAGGUGCGAAAGCGUGGGGAGCAAACAGG
Molecule: ribosomal RNA, 253 nt
Filed under: uncultured bacterium
Lineage: Bacteria
Description: partial 16S ribosomal RNA
Rfam family: Bacterial small subunit ribosomal RNA
Source: RNAcentral